This 957-nucleotide long non-coding RNA is filed under the name Pandoravirus neocaledonia. Its description in RNAcentral is "hypothetical ncRNA". The record is from RNAcentral.
UCUCUCUCUCUCUCUCUCUCUCUCUCUAUCUUUUCUUCUUGAUAAGAGGCAAAAGGGCACCGACACUGUUUGUUGCCGACCAAUGGGUCCGCCGUCACUGCCAUCGCCUGUCGUUAUUUUGCCGUCACUUGUUUGUCGUUGGUUGGACGGUGCUGGCGUGGUGCCCUCCCUUUUUUUUGCUGUCCGUGUGUUGCGUUGUGGGUUCGUGUUUCGUUCUUUGUGCUUUUUUUUAAAAAAAAUAUCGGUGUGCGCGCAGACUGCAGUCGGGCGUGCGAACCGCACGUCCCAAAAAAGGGCUUGAUUUCUUUCCCAAAACAAAAAGGCACCGCCAAGGAAAAAAGGUGCGCCGCAAACAAUCCAGCCGCAGGUUUGUGUUGCCCUCUUCUUCAGGGUGCCGUGUGUCUUUUUCUAUCUCUCAACGCACGCGGCGACGGGCGUGGCUCAAAAAAAGGAACGAAAAGGCACGAUCCAUCCCGUGGCGCCGACCUUUUUUUCCUAGGCGCUUGCCCGUGUAGGCACGCCGGCACCCGCGCACGAUAAAACCCGAUCGACGCUGGACAAGGGCAGUGCGCCCUUCUUUUUUUUCUUUUCGGCGCGGGUCGUCUCAUGGCUGCGCGGCCUUUUCAAUUUCCUCCUUUUCCCUUUUCGAGAUGAAUGGGCUUUUGUGCCGUGCGCGUACGCGCAUCGAGCACCACCAGGCCUGAGAAGAAGGCCAAAAAACACCACAGACGGGAAAAAAGGACUCGCGCAUAGACCAAAGCUUUUGUCCAGAGGCGCGUGCGCCCACCGCGCACGUGUGUCGCUCCUCUUCUGGUGGGUGCGCGUUGGAGAAAAAAUGGGAAAAACCCACGCAAAUCGCCCUUGCCCUUUUUUGUCUCUUUAUGUGUUUGCGGUGCGGCGUGGCGUCGCAGCGAGGGAUGGUCGGGGCCGCCGGACGGCGGCACGCGGUGCCCGUGA